This 245-nucleotide ribosomal RNA is filed under the name uncultured Corynebacterium sp. Its description in RNAcentral is "partial 16S ribosomal RNA". It matches the Rfam family "Bacterial small subunit ribosomal RNA", at positions 524 to 767 of the family's 1533-position model. Lineage: Bacteria; Bacillati; Actinomycetota; Actinomycetes; Mycobacteriales; Corynebacteriaceae. The record is from RNAcentral.
UACGUAGGGUGCGAGCGUUGUCCGGAAUUACUGGGCGUAAAGAGCUCGUAGGUGGUCUGUCGCGUCAUUUGUGAAAGCCCGGGGCUUAACUCCGGGUUGGCAGGUGAUACGGGCAUGACUGGAGUACUGUAGGGGAGACUGGAAUUCCUGGUGUAGCGGUGAAAUGCGCAGAUAUCAGGAGGAACACCGGUGGCGAAGGCGGGUCUCUGGGCAGUAACUGACGCUGAGGAGCGAAAGCAUGGGUA